GAUGAACGCUGGCGGCGUGCCUAAUACAUGCAAGUCGAGCGAACAGACGAGAGUGCUUGCACUCUCUGACGUUAGCGGCGGACGGGUGAGUAACACAUGGGUAACCUACCUAUAAGACUGGGAUAACUUCGGGAAGCCGGAGCUAAUACCGGAUAAUAUUUAGCUUCGCAUGAAGCAAUAGUGAAAGACGGUUCUGCUGUCACUUAUAGAUGGACCCGCGGUGUAUUAGCUGGUUGGUGAGGUAACGGCUCACCAAGGCAACGAUACAUAGCCGACCUGAGAGGGUGAUCGGCCACACUGGGACUGAGACACGGCCCAGACUCCUACGGGAGGCAGCAGUAGGGAAUCUUCCGCAAUGGACGAAAGUCUGACGGAGCAAUGCCGCGUGAGUGAAGAAGGUUUUCGGAUCGUAAAACUCUGUUGUAAGGGAAGAACAAGUACGUUAGUAACUGAACGUACCUUGACGGUACCUUACCAGAAAGCCACGGCUAACUACGUG
Molecule: ribosomal RNA, 499 nt
Filed under: uncultured bacterium
Lineage: Bacteria
Description: partial 16S ribosomal RNA
Rfam family: Bacterial small subunit ribosomal RNA
Source: RNAcentral